Molecule: long non-coding RNA, 198 nt
Filed under: Polistes fuscatus (common paper wasp)
Lineage: Eukaryota; Metazoa; Arthropoda; Insecta; Hymenoptera; Vespidae
Description: uncharacterized LOC122518400
Source: RNAcentral
CAAGAGGUCCUCACCGGACGAGUGCUUGCUUCUACAUACCUGCAUACUCUUUUGGCUUUUGCGGAAGACGACUUAUAGCAAACGGAGCUCGUUCGUUGCACGAAGUUACACGAAAGGACGAAAAUCAGGCUUCCACGCGUGUAUAUUAUAGAAAGAAGAAGUUGUAAAAUGGAUUCAUCGAAGUGGAAUAAACAAAAA